RNAcentral lists this ribosomal RNA (463 nucleotides) under uncultured bacterium. RNAcentral's name for it is "bacterial SSU rRNA". It matches the Rfam family "Bacterial small subunit ribosomal RNA", at positions 917 to 1382 of the family's 1533-position model. The record is from RNAcentral.
GGACCCGCACAAGUAGCGGAGCAUGUGGUUUAAUUCGAAGCAACGCGAAGAACCUUACCUACACUUGACAUCCCUUGCAUUACUCUUAAUCGAGGAAAUCCCUUCGGGGACAAGGUGACAGGUGGUGCAUGGUUGUCGUCAGCUCGUGUCGUGAGAUGUUGGGUUAAGUCCCGCAACGAGCGCAACCCUUGUCGUUAGUUACUACCAUUAAGUUGAGGACUCUAGCGAGACUGCCUGGGUUAACCAGGAGGAAGGUGGGGAUGACGUCAAAUCAUCAUGCCCCUUAUGUGUAGGGCUACACACGUGCUACAAUGGCUGGUACAGAGAGAUGCAAUACCGCGAGGUGGAGCCAAACUUAAAAACCAGUCUCAGUUCGGAUUGUAGGCUGAAACUCGCCUACAUGAAGCUGGAGUUACUAGUAAUCGCGAAUCAGAAUGUCGCGGUGAAUACGUUCCCGGGUCUU